UACGAAGGGGGCUAGCGUUGCUCGGAAUCACUGGGCGUAAAGCGCACGUAGGCGGAUCUUUAAGUCAGGGGUGAAAUCCUGGAGCUCAACUCCAGAACUGCCUUUGAUACUGGGGAUCUCGAGUCCGGGAGAGGUGAGUGGAACUCCGAGUGUAGAGGUGAAAUUCGUAGAUAUUCGCAAGAACACCAGUGGCGAAGGCGGCUCACUGGCCCGGUACUGACGCUGAGGCACGAAAGCGUGGGGAGCAAACAGG
This 253-nucleotide ribosomal RNA is filed under the name uncultured bacterium. RNAcentral's name for it is "partial 16S ribosomal RNA". It matches the Rfam family "Bacterial small subunit ribosomal RNA", at positions 524 to 776 of the family's 1533-position model. The record is from RNAcentral.